This 459-nucleotide ribosomal RNA is filed under the name uncultured bacterium. RNAcentral describes it as "partial 16S ribosomal RNA". It matches the Rfam family "Bacterial small subunit ribosomal RNA", at positions 338 to 795 of the family's 1533-position model. The record is from RNAcentral.
CCUACGGGUGGCAGCAGUGAGGAAUAUUGGUCAAUGGCCGCGAGGCUGAACCAGCCAAGUCGCGUGAGGGAAGAAUGUCCUAUGGAUUGUAAACCUCUUUUGUCAGGGAGCACAGUAACCCACGCGUGGUGGUUGGAGAGUACCUGAAGAAAAAGCAUCGGCUAACUCCGUGCCAGCAGCCGCGGUAAUACGGAGGAUGCGAGCGUUAUCCGGAUUUAUUGGGUUUAAAGGGUGCGAAGGCGGGUGAUAAAGUCAGCGGUAAAAUCGGGGAGUUAAACUCCAUCCAGCCGUUGAAACUGGUGUUCUUGAGUGGGCGAGAAGUAUGCGGAAUGCGUGGGGUAGCGGUGAAAUGCAUAGAUAUCACGCAGAACUCCGAUUGCGAAGGAAGCAUACCGGCGGACAACUGACGGUGAAGCACGAAAGCGUGGGUAGCGAACAGGAGUAGAUACCCUUGUAGUC